GAAGAAAACAUUGCCUUCUAAGUUAUCUGAAGCUGUUUUCUUUAGAUUUCCUCCCAUAGAAUAAUGUAUUUUUCUUUUAUUAAUCUAUGGAGUUUAAUUUUUUUUUCUUUUACUGUUCUUGGCUCUAAACAGAAUAAUUAUCUAAAUAAAAUUCUUGCCAACAUUUGUAUAGACCUCUGGCGCCUCAAUUACAGUCACAGAUUAAAAGUGGAAUUUUAAAUGUCUGGUUUAUACUAGAACAGUGGUUCUCAAAGUAUGGUCCCUGGGUUGCCAGCAGGAACUCAUCAGGCAUGCACAGGAGUUUUCAGAAGCCCUCCAACGGCCUCUGUGUGUGCGUCAGAGAGAACCAUAGCACUAGAACUUUCAAUGCUAAUUCUCUAGCAAAAUAAAAACUUCUCCUGCCUCCUUAACUCCGUAGUCAAAUUUUUAAAAGAAGAUUCUGGUUCUGAAUUCAUCUUGAGGAUAUGUAAUAGGUAAUAUGUAAUAUGAAUAGUCUAGCAACUCAUGCAAACAUAUCUUAAACUAAUGAGGAAGUAUCAAGUCCCAGAGAUGAGAGAGUGGGGACCUCCGAGGUCCUACUACACCCAUAGCUAACCAUGGUCUUAAGUGCUGAGGAAAGGAAACUCAGCUCUUACAGUACUGGGCCCAAGAGACAAAGCCCGGUCCUGCUUGUUUCUGCCAUGAGACACUGGGCUUUGAGCACAGGCAAGUCCCAAAAAAGCAAACCAAAUGCACCAAAAACAAACAAAAAAAGGAAAUAAAAUAUCAAUCAGAUUGAGGUAAAGUGAGAGAAGCCAGAAAACCAAGUGAAAAGGAUCAGCUUUCUCUAUGUGGAGAGAAAUAAUCCAAGACAAAAGAAAGAGAUGAAGGCAGAGGUGCUCUCUUAAAAAACAACAGCCGCAUUACGUCGAAUCCUUGCAGCCGCCCCACGUUCAUCAUGUCGUUGCACCGCCUGGGUACUAUGCACAUGACUUCCACAGCUCUCUGUGGGAGGGGAGAGAGAAGAGUGAAAGCUCAAGUUCCUCUAGGGAAAAUCUGACGUGCUCACCCUCCGACCUGAUGAAGUUCUGUUCUUCCUCCCCACCCUCUAGUGUGCAGGGCUUAUGGAGAUGCACUGGAGAGACUCUGUCACCCACUGCUUUGACCCCCUCCCAGGGCCAGACCACUGUUAGGAGACACUUGGGGAUUAGGAAAAGAGGCUGGUGGGGAUUUGGGUGCGCACAGCCGCUGAUGCACGUACCUCUAAUUCUGAUGUAUCCAGGCUGGCCUUUUUGGAAUACUUGAGGAAGUCCUGCAAGGGAAAUGGAGAGGACAUGAUAAUGGUGACAAAGACAACAGCAGCUGACCUUUCAUUUUUUUUUUUA
Molecule: long non-coding RNA, 1364 nt
Filed under: Pan troglodytes (chimpanzee)
Lineage: Eukaryota; Metazoa; Chordata; Mammalia; Primates; Hominidae
Description: long non-coding RNA NONPTRT013972
Source: RNAcentral